RNAcentral lists this ribosomal RNA (257 nucleotides) under Klebsiella variicola. Its description in RNAcentral is "partial 23S ribosomal RNA". It matches the Rfam family "Bacterial large subunit ribosomal RNA", at positions 761 to 1015 of the family's 2925-position model. The record is from RNAcentral. Lineage: Bacteria; Pseudomonadati; Pseudomonadota; Gammaproteobacteria; Enterobacterales; Enterobacteriaceae.
ACUAACUGGAGGACCGAACCGACUAAUGUUGAAAAAUUAGCGGAUGACUUGUGGCUGGGGGUGAAAGGCCAAUCAAACCGGGAGAUAGCUGGUUCUCCCCGAAAGCUAUUUAGGUAGCGCCUCGUGAAUUCAUCUUCGGGGGUAGAGCACUGUUUCGGCUAGGGGGUCAUCCCGACUUACCAACCCGAUGCAAACUACGAAUACCGAAGAAUGUUAUCACGGGAGACACACGGCGGGUGCUAACGUCCGUCGUGAAG